This 119-nucleotide ribosomal RNA is filed under the name Pteropus alecto (black flying fox). Lineage: Eukaryota; Metazoa; Chordata; Mammalia; Chiroptera; Pteropodidae. The record is from RNAcentral.
GUCUAUGGUGAUGCCACCCUGAACAAGCCCCAUCCUGUCUGAUCUCGGAAGCUAAGCAGGGUGGGGCCUGGUUAGUACUUGGAGACGAGACCACCCAGGAAGACCAGGUGCUGUAGGUG